Cavia porcellus (domestic guinea pig) is the source of this 280-nucleotide non-coding RNA. It matches the Rfam family "7SK RNA". Rfam says of the family: 7SK was discovered as an abundant small nuclear RNA in the mid-70s but a possible function has only recently been suggested. Two independent studies have found that 7SK RNA binds the CDK9/cyclin T complex (known as elongation factor P-TEFb). NCBI's taxonomy places the organism in Eukaryota, Metazoa, Chordata, Mammalia, Rodentia, Caviidae. The record is from Rfam.
AGACGUGAGGGGAACCUGGUUGUGACAUCUGUCACCUCACUGAUUACCAGAGUUGAUUUGGCUGAUCUGGCUGGGUAAAAGGUGUCCCUUUCCUACCUCAUUGCUCCAUGUAUGUCCCUCCUGAGCUUGCUGGGUCAAAGAGGAUGAACAUCCCCAACAGAGGAGGACAUUUCCUUGGUCAUAGAUACACGAGUAGUUGUGCUCCUGUCCAAACAAGCUCUCAAUGCUUAUAGCUUUGCUUAUUCUAGAUAUUUACAAAGAAUGAAGUUAUCUAAUAUUU